Molecule: ribosomal RNA, 251 nt
Filed under: uncultured Planctomycetaceae bacterium
Lineage: Bacteria; Pseudomonadati; Planctomycetota; Planctomycetia; Planctomycetales; Planctomycetaceae
Description: partial 16S ribosomal RNA
Rfam family: Bacterial small subunit ribosomal RNA
Source: RNAcentral
CUAGCCGUAAACUCUGAGAACUUGAUUGAAGGAUCCUCCAUAGUCUUUCAGUCGUAGCGAAAGUGUUAAGUUCUCCGCCUGGGGAGUAUGGUCGCAAGGCUGAAACUCAAAGAAAUUGACGGGGGCUCACACAAGCGGUGGAGGAUGUGGCUUAAUUCGAGGCUACGCGAAGAACCUUAUCCUAGUCUUGACAUGCAUUUCUAAGUCGGUGAAAGCCGGCGACCGUAGCAAUACGGAACUUGCACAGGUGC